Molecule: long non-coding RNA, 4301 nt
Organism: Carassius gibelio (silver crucian carp)
Lineage: Eukaryota; Metazoa; Chordata; Actinopteri; Cypriniformes; Cyprinidae
Exons: 5
Source: RefSeq, a predicted model, not a curated record
GCAACCUGGUCUCACAGAAUUCCGUGAAAUGUCCACGGGUCCUUAACUCAAAAUCCGUGAAGCCAUCACGGAAUUGCCCCAAAUUCCGUGACCCGGCCACGGAUAUUUCUCCAACGCAAGUCAAUGACACUGACCUCCCGUGAUCCACACACGGAUACCCGUUUCAAUGACGGAGUACAGAACUCGCUGAACGGACGUGCUUUCUCAUUUGGAAACGCAACAUUUGAAGUAUUUGUUUCUUUUCCAAUAUCAAAUGCCAUAAUGACAUUAACCAGACAGCUGUUGUAGUUAUUGCAUUGUCCUGUCAUCAUAAAAAUUACGUUUGUUUCAGUUACAAAAGUCCCGUGAUGGCACGGACCUCCACAACCUGACCUCACUCACUUGUUUAGGAACUUACAAGCUUUUCGUCGACACUGUUGCAAUGGCAUGUAAUUAACUUGGCAUUUUUUUCUCGUCCUGUCAUCAUAAAAUCCAGUUUGAUGGCGUUUUACACACAUUUUGGCUAUAGUCAGAACUAAAAUCUGUGAUAGGAGCACGGAGUGAGUCUGUGCUUAGAUCACGGAUAACUCUAACGCAAGUCAAUGACACUCAUCUUCCGUGGUCCGUACACGGAUCGUUUCAGUGAUGGAGUACAGACCUCACUCAAUGGACGUGCUAUCUCAUCUGGAAACGCAACAUUUGAAGUAUUUAUUUUUUUCAACACCAAAUACCAUGACCAACCUGACUGUUAUUGUAACUAUUGCAUUGUCCUGCCAUCAUACAGAUUCACUUUGAUUCUGUUAGCCUAACUAAAAUCUGUGAUACGAGCACGGAGUGAGUCUGUGCUGAGAUCACGGAUAACUCUAACGCAAGUCAAUGACACUCAUCUUCCGUGGUCCACACACGGAAACCCAGUCUCACGGCAGUUCGUGAUUUUGUCACGUAAUUUAAUCUAUUUAUUCGUGGCAGGCACACGUUUAUUUCCUUAUUUUCAUGAUUGCAGCACGUUUUUUUAAACUAAUGCAUUUCAACUGGAGGCAUCUUUCGUGCAUCAGCACAAUAUUUUCUGAUUAAUUAUUAUUAUUAUUAUUUAAUUUUUCACAGGACAACAGAAGAAACUCACUGAAACUUGAAAAAAAAAUCGGAGCUUAACUUACUGUACAAAACUGAGCAACAUACUGUAUUGCUGGUGACAAAAACACAUUAAAACUUUUUUAGCUGUAAAAUGCGCAAUGGUUCUUUUUUUACUUUUUCAUUGAUUUUUAUUUUUUUCAUAGGCCUAGAUUUAAUUUUUUUUAAUUACAGAAUUCAAUAUCAAGUCCUUGACACAUAACUGUAACACAUUUUCACAUUAAGAAACAAUUUAGUUUAAAUAAAAAGAACAAGAAAUAUCUAAAAAUAAAUAAAUUAUUUAUUAGCGAUAGGCCUACAGAUUUAUUUUUUUUUAUUUAUUUUUUAUUUUUUUACUUUAGACUCUAAAGUUAAAAGUUUUUAUUAAGGCUAUUGUAAAGGCUUCUUAAAAAUGAUGUCGCUGAUGAGCCUCUGAUCGCUGUCAGAUUCUGUGAUAUGAAUGUCCGCUAAUGGGUUUAGAAUGAGCCCCGCUCGGCCCGUGUUCUGGCUUACUGUAAUAUUUCACCUGUAAUAAGACCGAAAUAAUAUAAUUAAAAUAAAGAAAUGAAUGAAUACAUGAUAACAUCUACAUAAAUGUUGAUAGAUUUAGCGUUAUAGUUUUAAAAAUAUUAAUAAACAGCAAAUCAACACAGAAAGACCUAAAUAAUAAUAAUACAUAAUUAAUAAACAGCGCCGCCCCUCCCACUACGCGCAUCACGCGCUGUGCGUCAACCCCAAAGCGUCAAAAACUGAAGCGUGGUCAAGCGCCUCUAGCGUCACUGACAUGAGAUGUUUAUCGCUUUGAAAUCACGUUCAAGAAGUCUCAUUCAGCACACAUCGCGAUACUUUCCAUCAGUUUGCAAGAGCCGCAGGUUGGGUGAGUUAUACAGUCUAUGGUGAGUAGUAGUAAAUAUGCUAUUUUAAUGCCUGUCCUAAAACGUAUUCUGUCUUCUUUAUUAAUCAGAUGAGCGCCUUAUGUUUACUCUCUGUAUUACAUCGGUCAUCCGAGGCUGUCUUUGAGUUUCAUUGUGUUUAACUAAAUGAACACAGCUGCUAACUGGUUAAACUCUAUCGGUCACGUGACGUGACGUGACGUGCCACAGACCUGGGAUCCGUUUUAUAUUCAUUUCAGGUUCAAAGAUCUGAAAAGACGUAAAGUAAGCAGUCACCCCAGUGGUGUUUGUGGAGAGGUAUUCCUUCAGAAAUGGAGAAGACAGAAAGCUGCAGAGGCAGAAGUUUUUGGGGAGCCAACCCUCACAAACCUUCCUAAAAACUAAAAGAGCUAUUACUGAGUCUCAGCGACUCUUGCCACGAUCAGCUCUUCCCAGAAGAGAAGGAAGACCAAGGAAAUGAUUUGCUCAGGAUGAGAAAUGAAGAUGGUCAUCUUGUGCUCAAGCAAACAGAAGUCCUCUGUUUUGUGUGUGUUGAAGCAAUGCUGUGUUACAGGACUUUAUGAUGAUCUCUCACAGGACUGGUCAUGUCAGCCGUAAUUAUUCUUUCCAAUGUUUUUAUAUUUAUUUUAUUUUAUUUGAUACAGCUAUAAUAAUUAUAGCAUGUUAGCAAAGUUUGACUGGAACAUUUUUAAUCUAAAGUUUUUAAAAAACACCACCUGUUAUUCUUAAAAGCAUACAAGUGUCAUAAAAGUGGUUUAAUUGAUAUAAACACCAAUUGACAUUAUCUCACUGUUUUGUGAAUGUUGUGUUAUAAAUUGUGAAUUGAUAGUUGAUUGGUUUGAGCAAAGCCUUACACUGCACAGACUAAAACACAUUUGUGAGAGAAGUCAUUAGCUCUGGAGAAAGACUCUAGAGGAAGAAAACACAUUUACUGCAACAAAAGAUGAAUUCUAGAGUCUCUGAGAAGUACACAUGCUAAUGGAGUCUCAUGAGCAAGUCCUUUGCCUCUGUAACUUUUUCUAAAUUGUUGCAUAAUGAAAUUGUUUAUUGCAGUAUUUUAACAAUUUUACUUUGUACAGAUGAUCUCAUCAACCAAAUGAGGGGUUUUGACCAAGUGAUGCUCUUGAAAGGAGUGAAAGAAGAGGAUGUGGUAAAUUGUCUUCAGAGAAAAAGCUUCUCAAAAGAUCUUAAAACAGCUUGAAGAAUGGUCUGGGAUCUUAGGACUGGGAGAUCUCACUUGCACCCAGUUAACCUCCAUAGAGAACAUUUAUCAGAAGCGCUGUCUGGGUAGGGCAAGAAACAUCAUCAAGGAUGCCUCUCACCCUAACCAUGGACUUUUCACCCUCCUUCCAUCCGGCAGGCGUUACAGGAGCCUACGCUCUCGAACUAGUAGACUCAGGAAGAGCUUCUUCCCCGAGGCUGUGACACUCCUGAACACCACACCACCAAUCUAACCUGCACCUGCUCUUUUACUGCACUGGUCACAGUACUUUACAUACAUGUAUUGCACUACUCAUAUUUUGCACAGACUGCACAUGGUUAAAUCCAUUACACUAUAAACUGUCUAAAGCUGUUACUGUACAAGCACAGUAAACUAUUUCUACAAUAAAUAUAAUUGCACUACUAUUAUUUUGCAUAUAAUAAAUUGUUAAACUAUACUUUUGCACACUCAUUCAACUGUAUUUAUUACCACUGUUCUCAAGUUCCUGCUAUUCAUAAUGUAUAUAUAAUUCUUCUUUGCUCUGUUCAUAAUGUACAUACAAUCCCUACAUUAAAUUCAUAUUUAUAUUCUGUAUAUACUCUGAUCAAUAUUGUAUAUAGCAACUCCACUGUAAAUUCUGUAUAUCAUAGCUUUACUUACUCUGCACUUUUAUGUAUAUAAAACACUAUAUUCUUGCACUUCUGGUUAGAUGCUAACUGCAUUUCAUUAGCUCUGUACUUGUACUCUGCAUAAUGACAAUAAAGUUGAAUCUAAUCUAAUCUAAUCUAAUCUUCUGGCUGAGAACAAGCUACACCACAUCAGUGCUGGAUAUCAACCAAAAGCUGUUUCCAGACACGAGAGAAGAUCACGAUGAAACCAGUUUAGAUGUGUUGAUAAGGAAUCAUUAUUUUCUGAAACAGUAUCAAAUGUCUUAUAUGUAUCACAUGAUCUGUAUCACAGUUGACUGGAUGGGACUGUGACUUUUAAGGACAUUUCAUCACUCAUCUGUGUGAACUGAUUAAUAUAUGAGGUUAAUGUAUUUUUGAUUAUGAAUAAUUAUUUUCCUUGAAUCUUAUUUGUCUUGAUGCUACUUUAUCAUCUUUAUAGUCUAUGCUUCA